AAACGACAUUACUUACACUCAGAGAGUUGACCCGAUUACAAUUUAUUGAGGUGGAAACAAACCUGAAAGUGUAAACCAUUCAAACUUUGGCUGGUCUUCCAGGAUGUUGCUACCAUCUCCAGUGAACCACCGUGGAAUGAACAGCGUCUCAGGGGUUCUCUGAAUCCUAACCCUGUUCCGCCAAAGCCACCCUUUCUACUAAGUUAUUGUCUCCAAAAUCUGCCUCCCUUCUCCUUGAGUCUACCUUCCUCUGUUCCUGGCCCAAGCAAACUCAUCCUUCAGUCUCU
This 287-nucleotide long non-coding RNA is filed under the name Phascolarctos cinereus (koala). RNAcentral's name for it is "lncRNA (ENSPCIG00000030827.1)". Lineage: Eukaryota; Metazoa; Chordata; Mammalia; Diprotodontia; Phascolarctidae. The record is from RNAcentral.